UACGUAGGCAGCGAGCGUUGUUCGGAGUUACUGGGCGUAAAGGGUGUGUAGGCGGUUGUUUAAGUUUGGUGUGAAAUCUCCCGGCUCAACUGGGAGGGUGCGCCGAAUACUGAAUGACUUGGAGUGCGGGAGAGGAGAGUGGAAUUCCUGGUGUAGCGGUAGAAAUGCGUAGAUAUCAGGAGGAACACCUGUGGUGUAGACAGCUUACUGGACCAUUUCUGACGCUGAGACACGAAAGCGUGGGUAGCAAACAGG
RNAcentral lists this ribosomal RNA (255 nucleotides) under uncultured bacterium. RNAcentral's name for it is "partial 16S ribosomal RNA". It matches the Rfam family "Bacterial small subunit ribosomal RNA", at positions 524 to 776 of the family's 1533-position model. The record is from RNAcentral.